UUUACAAUUAAAAAAUACGACUAACUAAUGGCGCUUUUCCAUCGCAUAGUACCCCACGGUUUGGUUUAGUUUGGGUCGGGUCAGCUUACUUUUGGGAGCUUUUCCAUUGGGAUCACUUCGUAGUACCCGAUACUUUUUUUCGUACCACCUCGGUUGGGGUUCCAAGCGACCCGAGCUGAUACCAAACGUGACGCGUAAACACUGUAGUUCACUGAUUGGUCUGAGAGAAUCGUCAUCGGCGCCGUCAUCCUAUUAUGUAAAAUAUUAGCUUUAGCUUGCUGCUAGCUUGCGCUGUCUCGAGCAAACAUGUUGUCAUCUGUGCUCUGUUUUAAGUUUCCAAACACCCUUUUAGCGAUUAAAAACAUCCACAGGUUGUGAAUCAGGAACACAUAAAAGUUUUUUCCAGACUUGCAGUUUGUGGCGGCACAUUCGCGACGUGCACGUCAGUAUUAUUUAUGCUUUAAUGCAACUUCAUUGAGGCUCAGCCUGAGCGCCGUCGACAGACGCCACGGGUGUUUGAACAGAAACUGUUAUGUGAGACAGAGUUAGUUAUAAACGCGAUGUGCAAAGUAAACUUCUAUUUGUGGUGGCCAAUUUUAAUUUUGUGGCGGCACAUUCGCGACGUGCACGUCAGUAUUAUUUAUGCUUUAAUGCAACUUCAUUGAGGCUCAGCGGAGCCGUCGACUGACGCCACGGGUGUUUGAACAGAAACUGUCAUGUGAGACAGAGGUAGUAUUAAACGCGAUGUGCAAAGUAAACAUCUAUUUGUGGUGGCCAAUUUUAAUUUUGUGGCGGACUGAUAAAUAAAUAAAUGUAUGGGAAUGUACAAGGACGCUCUCUCUUGUAUGAUGUCACAGCCGUAUGCAGCGCAAAUAUAACGACACGCCUAUAAUUCCUCCCACUGCGAAGUGAUACUAAACUCAAUGGAAAAGCUAACCACGCCAAAGUGAGGUGAGCUGACCCGACCCAAACUAAACUAAACCGUGGGGUACUAUGCAAUGGAAAAGCGCCAUAAUACUAAUAUUUAUUGGUGCACUUUCGUUUCUAAAACAAUGACAUAUAUUGCAAUGCACCUUGGAAAUAGUAGUCAUUUAACCUCAACAGCGUUCAAUCCGCUGUGGAAAAUGGACUACCUUUCCCAUAAUGCAACUGGUCAUGAUCAGGAACUUCCGCGAAAUUCAAACCCCCACUGUGUACUGGAUGAAGGACACGCGAUCGUUUGUCUUGUGGAGUUUUAUAUAACACAGUAAGUAAAAGAGACGCAACAUGCAUGACGGGGAUGAUAAAAUAAUCAAUAAGAAGUUUGAAUCUUUAAAUGAAUGCUGAACCCCAAAGAAGCCAAACGAAGAUUAGAUGUUUUCUGUACCAAACCACAAAUCAGCAUUUGCUGAUGUCAUGUACCACACUUUGUCAACAAUAAAUGUUGUUUCUGCAAUCUGGAUAAAGAAUAAUAUAUUACUGCCUCUUGGAGAACAGCCGGCCGUACUCCAGACAGAGACAAAGACGUGAGGACAUCUAUUGCUUUUGUAAAGGAAUUUUAUACCCAAGAGUUAUAAAUGUUGUCUUUAUUGUUUGUCUUAAUCUUUUAUUUGACAUUUUAACAAUAUAAAGUUUACUUAUACUUGUUUUUAUAUUUGUUUUUUGUUUGUAGAAGUCAUGUAUCACACUUUGUCAACAAUGCAUGUUGUUCUUGCAAUCUGGAUGAAGAAUAAUAUAUUACUGCCUCUUGGGAAAACAGCAGACUGUACUCCAGACAGAGACAAAGACAUGAGGACAUCCAUUGCUUUUAAGUCCUAUACCAGACUAUGUUGUUCCAGCUGUCUGGGUAAAGACUGAUACAUUACUGCCUCUUGGAGAACAGCAAACCAUUCUCCAGACAGAGACAAAGACAUGGACAUCAAAACAGAAAAUUAAGUACUUGAUCUUGGAUUGUUUGGAGUGAACGCUGGAAAAUAAUGAAGCAGGAAAUUAAAAUGCUUGACUAAAACAAUUUUUAGAAAUCCUUCUGGAACUCUGAAAUCUGCAAACAUAUUUUUUCCCAUGUCUUGAAUUGAAUGUUAAAAGUAUCAGUUCUUGGACUGGCAGUGUGUACUAUAUCAUUUUUUCCUUACUCUUAUUCAUUUUAUGUAAAUGUAUUUUCUAACUGUAUUUUAUGAUUUUUUCUGUAGGCUGUAAGAAGUCCUUUGUGUGCACAGACAUGACUGGAGAUUAAAGUUACUAAAUGUUGCUUUUUUUCUAGCUGGUGUCAUAAAUACAUUUGAAAAUAAUACCAUGUUAUCUAAUACACAUUUGCACAUCUGUAAACAUUCAUUUUAUAUAGGAUGUUUUUUAUAUUUAACCAGUUGUUGUAUAUUGCUUUCUGUUAUUACAUCUGGGUUUUUUUGCCUGUUUAUUGUUUAAAACAAUUAAGUUAAGUAAUUAACAAUUAAGUUAAUGUUUCUCUGUUAGCUUUUACUUUGGCUAUUUCUUUGUUUUUAUUUGAUCCUUCUACUGUUAUUUGUUUAUUUGGCUAUUUGGCAGAACAUUUGACAUUUCAUUUAUUUUGCUGUUAUCUGAAAUUAUCCUUGUCACCAUCAAUAAAACUCUCUAUAUUUGCUUUA
Molecule: non-coding RNA, 2600 nt
Organism: Misgurnus anguillicaudatus (oriental weatherfish)
Lineage: Eukaryota; Metazoa; Chordata; Actinopteri; Cypriniformes; Cobitidae
Source: RefSeq, a predicted model, not a curated record